AUUGAACGCUAGCGGGAUGCUUUACACAUGCAAGUCGAACGAGUGGCGCACGGGUGAGUAAUGUAUCGGACCGUGCUCUGUAACGGGGGUUAACUCCUCGAAAGAGUGGCUAAUCCGGCAUACUAUUGGAGCGGCCGAUAUCGGAUUAGCUAGUUGGUGGGGUAAAGGCUUACAAAGGCAACGAUCCAUAGCUGGUUUGAGAGGACGACCAGCCACACUGGAACUGAGACACGGCCCAGACUCCUACGGGAGGCAGCAGUGGGGAAUUUUGGGCAAUGGGCGAAACCCUGAUCCAGCCAUCCCGCGUGUAUGAGAAGGCCUUCGGGUUGUAAAGUACUUUUAGCAGAGAAGCGGUAUCUGCAGAAUAAGCACCGGCUAACUACGUGCCAGCCGCCGCGGUAAUAC
Molecule: ribosomal RNA, 405 nt
Filed under: uncultured bacterium
Lineage: Bacteria
Description: partial 16S ribosomal RNA
Rfam family: Bacterial small subunit ribosomal RNA
Source: RNAcentral